Molecule: ribosomal RNA, 253 nt
Filed under: uncultured bacterium
Lineage: Bacteria
Description: partial 16S ribosomal RNA
Rfam family: Bacterial small subunit ribosomal RNA
Source: RNAcentral
UACGUAGAGUGCAAGCGUUAAUCGGAAUUACUGGGCGUAAAGCGUGCGCAGGCGGUGAUGUAAGACAGGUGUGAAAUCCCCGGGCUUAACCUGGGAACUGCAUUUGUGACUGCAUCGCUGGAGUGCGGCAGAGGGGGAUGGAAUUCCGCGUGUAGCAGUGAAAUGCGUAGAUAUGCGGAGGAACACCGAUGGCGAAGGCAAUCCCCUGGGCCUGCACUGACGCUCAUGCACGAAAGCGUGGGGAGCAAACAGG